GACGAACGCUGGCGGCGUGCCUAAUACAUGCAAGUCGAGCGGACGAAUCGAAAGCUUGCUUUUGAUUCGUUAGCGGCGGACGGGUGAGUAACACGUGGGCAACCUGCCCUGUAGACGGGGAUAACACCGAGAAAUCGGUGCUAAUACCGGAUAACACGAAAUGUCGCAUGACGUUUCGUUGAAAGACGGCGCAAGCUGUCGCUACAGGAUGGGCCCGCGGCGCAUUAGCUAGUUGGUGAGGUAACGGCUCACCAAGGCGACGAUGCGUAGCCGACCUGAGAGGGUGAUCGGCCACACUGGGACUGAGACACGGCCCAGACUCCUACGGGAGGCAGCAGUAGGGAAUCUUCCGCAAUGGACGAAAGUCUGACGGAGCAACGCCGCGUGAGCGAAGAAGGCCUUCGGGUCGUAAAGCGCUGUUGUUAGGGAAGAACAAGUAACGCAGUAACUGGCGUUACCGUGACGGUACCUAACGAGAAAGCCACGGCUAACUACGU
Molecule: ribosomal RNA, 497 nt
Filed under: uncultured bacterium
Lineage: Bacteria
Description: partial 16S ribosomal RNA
Rfam family: Bacterial small subunit ribosomal RNA
Source: RNAcentral